UCCGUCAGGCUUUUUUUUUUUUUUUUUUUAAAUCGUUUUAACUUUUGUCUCCUCUCUCUGUUUCUUUUGUUCUUUUCUUUUUAGUGCCUUCUGCUCCCCGCGCUGAUGGAGAAGUGUCGCAGGAGGCCAUUACUGCCUGACCACGUGACCGCAGGUCCAGCUGGAGGGUGAGAGGACCAUGGAUUUGUGGGGGUCUGCCUUCCUGCUGGUUUACCAGUGACCUUCUCAACAGGAGGACCUUCACACCUGGACCACCAGGUGCUUUCUCUGGAACCCAGAACAAAGCAGAAGAUCCCUGUCAUGUAAACACAUGUAGGAAUGACAGAAGGCAAGGACACAGACCAGAGUGGAGGGCUGAAGAUGGCACCACAACGGCUACAUGCACACGUCACCACCAACUACAAAGCAGACAUACAAGCCCCUGUCU
Long non-coding RNA from Denticeps clupeoides (denticle herring), 427 nucleotides. NCBI's taxonomy places the organism in Eukaryota, Metazoa, Chordata, Actinopteri, Clupeiformes, Denticipitidae. The record is from Ensembl.